RNAcentral lists this ribosomal RNA (551 nucleotides) under Bifidobacterium longum. Its description in RNAcentral is "bacterial SSU rRNA". It matches the Rfam family "Bacterial small subunit ribosomal RNA", at positions 145 to 711 of the family's 1533-position model. Lineage: Bacteria; Bacillati; Actinomycetota; Actinomycetes; Bifidobacteriales; Bifidobacteriaceae. The record is from RNAcentral.
UUCUCCUGGAAACGGGUGGUAAUGCCGGAUGCUCCAGUUGAUCGCAUGGUCUUCUGGGAAAGCUUUCGCGGUAUGGGAUGGGGUCGCGUCCUAUCAGCUUGACGGCGGGGUAACGGCCCACCGUGGCUUCGACGGGUAGCCGGCCUGAGAGGGCGACCGGCCACAUUGGGACUGAGAUACGGCCCAGACUCCUACGGGAGGCAGCAGUGGGGAAUAUUGCACAAUGGGCGCAAGCCUGAUGCAGCGACGCCGCGUGAGGGAUGGAGGCCUUCGGGUUGUAAACCUCUUUUAUCGGGGAGCAAGCGAGAGUGAGUUUACCCGUUGAAUAAGCACCGGCUAACUACGUGCCAGCAGCCGCGGUAAUACGUAGGGUGCAAGCGUUAUCCGGAAUUAUUGGGCGUAAAGGGCUCGUAGGCGGUUCGUCGCGUCCGGUGUGAAAGUCCAUCGCUUAACGGUGGAUCCGCGCCGGGUACGGGCGGGCUUGAGUGCGGUAGGGGAGACUGGAAUUCCCGGUGUAACGGUGGAAUGUGUAGAUAUCGGAAAGAACACCA